CCUGGGCGGCUGGAACGUCUCGGCAGCGCUGCCCUGCUCCAUCUGCACCGACCCGCCACCGGCGGCGCCACCGUCGCUCAAGCCCAACAUCACCUGGACGCUGGGUAAUGAGAGCGCCAUCUACGACUGUCUGGACGAGAAGUCGUUCAGCUGGGGGCAGCGCCAUUUCGAGCUGACCUGCUCACCCGAAGGCUGGGCCUGCGUGCCCACCUGUGACUACUGCCUGGAGCCGGCCAGAGGACCGGCAGGCACCUACCUGGAGACGUUCGGCUCGCUGCCGGGGACCACGGCCAAGCACGUGUGUGACCC
This is a long non-coding RNA of Pollicipes pollicipes, 309 nucleotides long. RefSeq lists it as uncharacterized. Lineage: Eukaryota; Metazoa; Arthropoda; Thecostraca; Pollicipedomorpha; Pollicipedidae. The record is from RefSeq and is a predicted model, not a curated record. The transcript has 3 exons.